Molecule: ribosomal RNA, 468 nt
Filed under: uncultured bacterium
Lineage: Bacteria
Description: partial 16S ribosomal RNA
Rfam family: Bacterial small subunit ribosomal RNA
Source: RNAcentral
GACGAACGCUGGCGGCGUGCUUAACACAUGCAAGUCGAACGGAAAGGCCCUGCUUUUGUGGGGUGCUCGAGUGGCGAACGGGUGAGUAACACGUGAGUAACCUGCCCUUGACUUUGGGAUAACUUCAGGAAACUGGGGCUAAUACCGGAUAGGAGCUCCUGCUUCAUGGUGGGGGUUGGAAAGUUUCGGCGGUUGGGGAUGGACUCGCGGCUUAUCAGCUUGUUGGUGGGGUAGUGGCUUACCAAGGCUUUGACGGGUAGCCGGCCUGAGAGGGUGACCGGCCACAUUGGGACUGAGAUACGGCCCAGACUCCUACGGGAGGCAGCAGUGGGGAAUAUUGCACAAUGGGCGGAAGCCUGAUGCAGCAACGCCGCGUGCGGGAUGACGGCCUUCGGGUUGUAAACCGCUUUCGCCUGUGACGAAGCGUGAGUGACGGUAAUGGGUAAAGAAUCACCGGCUAACUACGUG